GACAAACGCUGGCGGUAUGCCUAACACAUGCAAGUCGAACGGACAGAACAGGGAAGCUUUUCGGAGUGGAACUGGAAAGUUAGUGGCGGAUGGGUGAGUAACGCGUGGACAACCUACCUUGUAAAGGGGAAUAACCUCGAGAAAUCGAAGCUAAUACCCCAUAAUAACCUUGCUUCGCAUGAAGUAAGGAGGAAAGGCGGCCUUAGCGCUGUCGAUACAAGAUGGGUCCGCGUCCGAUUAGCUAGUUGGUGAGGUAAAGGCUCACCAAGGCGACGAUCAGUAGCCGGCCUGAGAGGGUGAGCGGCCACAUUGGGACUGAGACACGGCCCAAACUCCUACGGGAGGCAGCAGUGGGGAAUCUUCCGCAAUGGGCGAAAGCCUGACGGAGCAAUGCCGCGUGAGUGAAGAAGGCCUUCGGGUUGUAAAACUCUGUCCUUAUCGAAGAGAGAGUGUUGUAGUAACUGACAAUACUAGGACGGUAGAUGAGGAGGAAGCCCCGGCUAACUAUGUG
RNAcentral lists this ribosomal RNA (511 nucleotides) under uncultured bacterium. RNAcentral's name for it is "partial 16S ribosomal RNA". It matches the Rfam family "Bacterial small subunit ribosomal RNA", at positions 28 to 507 of the family's 1533-position model. The record is from RNAcentral.